GUGGUCACUUCAGCAGCACAUAUACUAAAAUUGGAACAAUACAGAGAUUAGCAUGACUCCUGCACAAGGGUGAUAUGCAAAUUUCUGAAGCGUUCCAGAGAGAU
Small nuclear RNA from Molossus molossus (Pallas's mastiff bat), 104 nucleotides. The record is from RefSeq and is a predicted model, not a curated record. NCBI's taxonomy places the organism in Eukaryota, Metazoa, Chordata, Mammalia, Chiroptera, Molossidae.